This 503-nucleotide ribosomal RNA is filed under the name uncultured bacterium. RNAcentral's name for it is "partial 16S ribosomal RNA". It matches the Rfam family "Bacterial small subunit ribosomal RNA", at positions 899 to 1397 of the family's 1533-position model. The record is from RNAcentral.
ACUCAAAGGAAUAGACGGGGGCCCGCACAAGCGGUGGAACAUGUGGUUUAAUUCGACACUACGCGAGGAACCUUACCUAGGCUUGACAUGUAUUUGACCGCUGUAGAAAUACAGUUUUCUGGGCUUCGGUCCAGACGGAUACACAGGUGCUGCAUGGCUGUCGUCAGCUCGUGUCGUGAGAUGUUGGGUUAAGUCCUCUAACGAGCGCAACCCCUGCUGUCAGUUGCAAUUGCGUAAGCAAGCACUCUGAUGGGACUGCCUGGGAAACCAGGAGGAAGGUGGGGAUGACGUCAAGUCAUCAUGGUCCUUAUGCCUAGGGCUACACACGUGUUACAAUGGCUAGUACAAAGAGCUGCAAGCUUGUAAAAGUGAGCUAAUCUCAAAAAACUAGUCUAAGUUCGGAUUGGGGUCUGCAACUCGACCCCAUGAAGCUGAAAUCGCUAGUAAUCGCAUAUCAGAACGAUGCGGUGAAUACGUUCUCGGGCCUUGCACACACCGCCCGU